RNAcentral lists this long non-coding RNA (905 nucleotides) under Apteryx owenii (little spotted kiwi). RNAcentral's name for it is "lncRNA (ENSAOWG00000014879.1)". Lineage: Eukaryota; Metazoa; Chordata; Aves; Apterygiformes; Apterygidae. The record is from RNAcentral.
ACGGCACAAGACACAAAGAACAUCUUCUCCACAAGCUCCAAGGUGUUUUCUAAAAUGCUAUAACACAAGCAAAGCCUCAUAGGAAGGAUGAAUAGCUACAGCAGCCAUUUGUCACAGGACGAGAGCACAGGAGUGGGAGGUCAUCAACUAAUAGAGUAGGUACCUGGGAAAAUUGGGGGGGGGAGAUUCUUAUGUCAAAUUCCCAGAUGAUCCUAAGAAAUCAAAACAUGCUGUGUCCUACAGAGGAAAUUUAAAAGCAACAUGGCCUCUGUGAGUCUCUCAUUGGGAAAGAUUCCUUACCCCAAACCUGAGGAUCCGGCACUGAGUAUCAAAAGCGUGUAAUACGAACAUGUGGAAACUCUCACCUUAGGUUUACGGUCAGUCUUCAAUGCCUCACAGGAACCCUCAAUCUUCUCUUGAGAAAGCUAGAUUAUGUAUCAAGGGAAGAAAUCAAUCAAUUCUGGACCCUGUGUAUGGAACAGCACACCUGGAAGCAUGAAACUAUUGCAACAUAAAUAAGGGGCAAGCUAAGAGUGAGGCACUUCCUUCUGAACCUCCUUAGAGAUACUGAGGGUCACGUAUCACAAGGUGGGUUAUUUUAAAAAGGCUGCUAAACUGCUAUGAAUACUUUGGCUUCAGUCCUAGCAAUUGCCCCUACCUCCAGCUGAAGCUGAAGCUGAUGAGCAUGAUGGAGACCUGCUGCCUGGCUAAUAGCUUGCCUGUGCACCCAGCCCCUGCCAGCUUGCGUGGAGCAGUGUCUGCUGCAGGUGCCCCAGCAUGUGGUGCUAGGUCAAAUCCAAACUGAUGUGUACCCAAGAGCCUACACUUUGGUGACCGUGUGUCUGCAGCUGGGACAGGACCUGAUGUCCAUGUAAUGUACAGCAUAACAACUGGUAAUUCUGAAU